RNAcentral lists this unclassified non-coding RNA (246 nucleotides) under Hevea brasiliensis (rubber tree). The record is from RNAcentral. Lineage: Eukaryota; Viridiplantae; Streptophyta; Magnoliopsida; Malpighiales; Euphorbiaceae.
AAUGGUAAGUUUGCUUGAGGAUCCUUGGCUUUGAUUUCUAUUUUGUAUGCCUUUAGUUGAUGGGAUUGUAAAAUCAUCGACUAAUAGAUUAGGCAGCAUAGCCGCCUUUAUGCACAAAUAAAAAUAGAGAAGUUUGGCAGUUUAAGUUUGGUGUAUUUGUCAGUCAAUGGGUCUCAAUGACUAUCUACCUAAGCAUUCUACAGUAAACAAUUAAAAAUGUUUGUGCAUUUGGCAGGUUUCUUGAAG